GACGAACGCUGGCGGCGUGCUUAACACAUGCAAGUCGAACGGAAAGGCCCUGCUUUUGUGGGGUGCUCGAGUGGCGAACGGGUGAGUAACACGUGAGUAACCUGCCCUUGACUUUGGGAUAACUUCAGGAAACUGGGGCUAAUACCGGAUAGGAGCUCCUGCUGCAUGGUGGGGGUUGGAAAGUUUCGGCGGUUGGGGAUGGACUCGCGGCUUAUCAGCUUGUUGGUGGGGUAGUGGCUUACCAAGGCUUUGACGGGUAGCCGGCCUGAGAGGGUGACCGGCCACAUUGGGACUGAGAUACGGCCCAGACUCCUACGGGAGGCAGCAGUGGAGAAUAUUGCACAAUGGGCGGAAGCCUGAUGCAGCAACGCCGCGUGCGGGAUGACGGCCUUCGGGUUGUAAACCGCUUUCGCCUGGGACGAAGCGUGAGUGACGGUAAUGGGUAAAGAAGCACCGGCUAACUACG
This 466-nucleotide ribosomal RNA is filed under the name uncultured bacterium. RNAcentral's name for it is "partial 16S ribosomal RNA". It matches the Rfam family "Bacterial small subunit ribosomal RNA", at positions 28 to 505 of the family's 1533-position model. The record is from RNAcentral.